This 463-nucleotide ribosomal RNA is filed under the name uncultured bacterium. Its description in RNAcentral is "partial 16S ribosomal RNA". It matches the Rfam family "Bacterial small subunit ribosomal RNA", at positions 28 to 507 of the family's 1533-position model. The record is from RNAcentral.
GAUGAACGCUGACAGAAUGCUUAACACAUGCAAGUCGAUGGGGAAGUGGUGCUUGCACCAUGGCAACCAUGGCGGACGGGUGAGUAACGCGUAAGGGACUUACCUGCAGGACUGGGAUAACAGGGGGAAACUCCUGACAAGACCGGAUAAUGUCAUGGAGCUGCAUGGCUUUAUGAUGAAAGGAGACGCCUGCGGAGAGCCUUGCGUCCUAUUAGCUAGUUGGUGAGGUAAUGGCUCACCAAGGCGAAGAUAGGUAGCCGGCCUGAGAGGGUGGACGGCCACAAGGGGACUGAGAGACGGCCCUUACUACUACGGGAGGCAGCGGUGGGGAAUAUUGGACAAUGGGGGCAACCCUGAUCCAGCAAUUCUGUGUGCACGAAGAAGGUUUUCGGAUUGUAAAGUGCUUUCAGCAGGGAAGAAGUAAGUGACGGUACCUGAAGAAGAAGCGACGGCUAAAUACGUG